AGCAUACGGAAAGCUGCGGCAAGUACGGAAAAGCUGAGAGCAGGCUUCCAGGAAAAGCUUCUAGCACAACACGCAUCGGCCCGUACCGAAAAUGGACACACAUGGGCAAGGAGAGAAUCCUGAGGUGAGCGAGAGAACUAUAGCUAAGGAACUCUGCAAAAUGACCCCGUAACUUAGGGAGAAGGGGUGCUCCAGAAAUGGAGCCGCAGUAAAACGGCCCAAGCGACUGUUUACCAAAAACACAGCUCUCUGCGAAGGCGCAAGCCGAAGUAUAGGGGGUGACGCCUGCCCGGUGCUGGAAGGUCAAGGGGAGCUGUCAGCGCAAGCGAAGCAGCGAGCCGAAGCCCCAGUAAACGGCGGCCGUAACAAUAACGGUCCUAAGGUAGCGAAAUUCCUUGUCGGGCAAGUUCCGACCCGCACGAAAGGCGUAACGAUUUGGGCGCUGUCUCAGCUGUAGACUCGGUGAAGUCUUAGUACCUGUGAAGAUGCAGGUUGCCCGCGACUAGACGGAAAGACCCCAUGGAGCUUCACUGCAGGUUGACAUUGGUCUUGGAUGCAUGAUGUACAAGAUAGGUGGGAGGCUGUGAGCCGUGCGCGCCAGCGUACGGGGAGCCGCUGUUGGGAUACCACCCUUCAUGCAUCUAGGUCCUAACCGGAGGCAACGGGCCACGGGACAGUGUCAGUCGGGCAGUUUGACUGGGACGGUCGCCUCCCAAAGAGUAACGGAGGCGCCCAAAGAUACCCUCAGCAUGGAUGGAAACCAUGCAUAGAGUGCAAAGGCAUAAGGAUGUCUGACUGCGAGACAUACAGGUCGAGCAGGGACGAAAGUCGGGCUUAGUGAUCCGGCGGAUCCGAAUGGAAGGGCCGUCGCUCAACGGAUAAAAGCUACCCUGGGGAUAACAGGCUGAUCUCCCCCAAGAGUUCACAUUGACGGGGAGGUUUGGCACCUCGAUGUCGGCUCAUCGCAUCCUGGAGCUGAAGUCGGUUCCAAGGGUUGGGCUGUUCGCCCAUUAAAGCGGUACGCGAGCUGGGUUCAGAACGUCGUGAGACAGUUCGGUCCCUAUCUGUCGUGGGCGCAGGAGGUUUGAGGAGAGCUGCCCCUAGUACGAGAGGACCGGGGUGGACGGACCGAUGGUGCACCAGUUGUCACGCCAGUGGCACAGCUGGGCAGCCAAGUCCGGACGGGAUAAGCGCUGAAGGCAUCUAAGCGUGAAGCCCCCUCCAAGAUGAGACCUCCCAUUGGCGACAAGUAAGGCCCCUCGAAGACGACGAGGUUGAUAGGCCGCGAGUGCAAGCGCAGCGAUGUGCUUAGCGGGGCGGUACUAAUAGGCCGAGGACUUGGCC
RNAcentral lists this ribosomal RNA (1344 nucleotides) under metagenome. Its description in RNAcentral is "bacterial LSU rRNA". It matches the Rfam family "Bacterial large subunit ribosomal RNA", at positions 1548 to 2925 of the family's 2925-position model. The record is from RNAcentral.